CGGACGGGUGAGUAAUGUCUGGGAAACUGCCCGAUGGAGGGGGAUAACUACUGGAAACGGUAGCUAAUACCGCAUAACGUCGCAAGACCAAAAGGGGGGACCUUCGGGCCUCUUGCCAUCGGAUGUGCCCAGAUGGGAUUAGCUAGUAGUGGGGUAACGGCUCACCUAGGCGACGAUCCCUAGCUGGUCUGAGAGGAUGACCAGCCACACUGGAACUGAGACACGGUCCAG
RNAcentral lists this ribosomal RNA (231 nucleotides) under uncultured bacterium. RNAcentral's name for it is "partial 16S ribosomal RNA". It matches the Rfam family "Bacterial small subunit ribosomal RNA", at positions 99 to 334 of the family's 1533-position model. The record is from RNAcentral.